UGGGGAAUAUUGCACAAUGGGGGAAACCCUGAUGCAGCGACGCCGCGUGAACGAAGAAGGUAUUCGUAUCGUAAAGUUCUGUCCUAUGGGAAGAUAAUGACAGUACCAUAGAAGAAAGCUCCGGCUAAAUACGUGCCAGCAGCCGCGGUAAUACGUAUGGAGCGAGCGUUGUCCGGAAUUAUUGGGCGUAAAGGGUACGCAGGCGGUUUAAUAAGUCGAAUGUUAAAGAUCGGGGCUCAACCCUGUAAAGCAUUGGAAACUGAUAAACUUGAGUAGUGGAGAGGAAAGUGGAAUUCCUAGUGUAGUGGUGAAAUACGUAGAUAUUAGGAGGAAUACCAGUAGCGAAGGCGACUUUCUGGACACAAACUGACGCUGAGGUACGAAAGCGUGGGGAGCAAACAGG
RNAcentral lists this ribosomal RNA (403 nucleotides) under bacterium. RNAcentral describes it as "partial 16S ribosomal RNA". It matches the Rfam family "Bacterial small subunit ribosomal RNA", at positions 355 to 776 of the family's 1533-position model. The record is from RNAcentral.